Molecule: long non-coding RNA, 313 nt
Organism: Ficedula albicollis (Collared flycatcher)
Lineage: Eukaryota; Metazoa; Chordata; Aves; Passeriformes; Muscicapidae
Exons: 3
Source: RefSeq, a predicted model, not a curated record
UGAAUCUGCUCACCCAAAUAAACCAAGGAACCUUUUUUUCUGGCUUUGCUUCCUCGUGACUGAAGGAGUUUCCUCAGUGCCUGGGUGAAGGAUGGCAGGAGGUGCAAAUCCUGGUACCCACCACCUAGAGCUGCAGCCACACACUGGGACCCACCAAAAUAAUCUGAUUUUUCAGCAUCCAUCAUCCUCAAUUAAAGGAUUCAUGGAAUGUGUGGAAGGGACAAAUGGUGAAGUUAAAUGAGAAUUUCUUUGAUACAGAAGCAGGAGAUGAACCAGGCCUGCAUCACCUGCAUUAAAAGGACAAACCUGUCAG